Molecule: ribosomal RNA, 1221 nt
Filed under: Crocinitomicaceae bacterium
Lineage: Bacteria; Pseudomonadati; Bacteroidota; Flavobacteriia; Flavobacteriales; Crocinitomicaceae
Description: partial 23S ribosomal RNA
Rfam family: Bacterial large subunit ribosomal RNA
Source: RNAcentral
UGAUAAGUUACUAAGGGCACACAGGGAAUGCCUUGGCUCUGAGAGGCGAAGAAGGACGUGAUAAGCUGCGAUAAGGUACGGGGAUAAGCAAAUAUUAAUUGAUCCGUACAUUUCCGAAUGGGGGAACCCAAUACAUUGAAGAUGUAUUACCCGAAAGGGGGCAAACGCGCUGAACUGAAACAUCUAAGUAGGCGUAGGAAGAGAAAACAAUAGUGAUUUCCGGAGUAGCGGCGAGCGAAAUGGAAAUAGCCCAAACCGUAAUUGUUUCGGCAAUUACGGGGUUGUAGGACUACGAUAUGGAAUUAUAAAUUAUAGUGGAACAACUUGGAACGGUUGGCUAUAGAGGGUGAAAGCCCCGUACACGAAAUAUUUUAUAUACCUAGUAGUAUCCUGAGUAGGGCGGGACAUGUGAAAUCCUGUCUGAAUCUACCAGAACCAUCUGGUAAGGCUAAAUACUCCUCAGAGACCGAUAGCGAACGAGUACCGUGAGGGAAAGGUGAAAAGAACCCUGAACAAGGGAGUGAAAAAGAUCCUGAAACUGUGUGUCUACAAGCGGUCGAAGCCUACGGGCGACGGCGUGCCUUUUGCAUAAUGAUCCUACGAGUUACUCCUCAUUGGCAAGGUUAAGUGUUUAAGACACGGAGCCGAAGCGAAAGCGAGUCUGAAUAGGGCGAACUAGUCAGUGGGGGUAGACGCGAAACCUUGUGAUCUACCCAUGGCCAGGUUGAAGUUCCGGUAACACGGAAUGGAGGACCGAACCGAUAAGCGUUGAAAAGCUUUCGGAUGAGCUGUGGGUAGGGGUGAAAGGCCAAUCAAACUGGGAAAUAGCUCGUACUCCCCGAAAUGCAUUUAGGUGCAGCGUUGAGGUAGAGUUUUAUAGAGGUAGAGCUACUGAUUGGACUAGGGGGCUUCACCGCCUACCAAAUCCUGACAAACUCCGAAUGCUAUAAAAUAUACUCAGCAGUGAGGGCAUGGGUGCUAAGGUCCAUGUCCGAGAGGGAAAGAACCCAGACCAUCAGCUAAGGUCCCCAAAUAUAUACUAAGUUGUUUAAACGUUGUGCGAUUGCAUUGACAGCUAGGAUGUUGGCUUGGAAGCAGCCAUUCAUUUAAAGAGUGCGUAACAGCUCACUAGUCGAGCGAUCGUGCGUGGAUAAUAAGCGGGCAUUAAGUAUAUUACCGAAGCUGUGGAUUCAGUGCUAUGCACUGUCUGGUAGGGGAGCA